UAGAAAAGUCUGUAUGUUUAGGGGAGCCC
This 29-nucleotide non-coding RNA is filed under the name Mus musculus (house mouse). The record is from RNAcentral. Lineage: Eukaryota; Metazoa; Chordata; Mammalia; Rodentia; Muridae.